This is a non-coding RNA of Aspergillus steynii IBT 23096, 94 nucleotides long. Lineage: Eukaryota; Fungi; Ascomycota; Eurotiomycetes; Eurotiales; Aspergillaceae. The record is from the annotation of a RefSeq genome assembly.
GGCAACGUGGGUGAGUGGUUAAGCCGUAAGACUCGAAUUAAUUCGACGAUAUCUUAUCCCUUCGGGGUCGCAAGUUCGAAUCUUGUCGUUGUCG